CCCUCCUGGGAAGGUGUGUCUGUGGUUCCUUGUCCUUGGACAUGUAAGAAUUGGAGGCAAAGAGAUGUGGACUUGGAGAAGUCUGGAGCCAGCUUGCUCCCCGCAGGCCCAAGGAAGAAAAAAAAAAG
RNAcentral lists this small nucleolar RNA (128 nucleotides) under Dasypus novemcinctus (nine-banded armadillo). Its description in RNAcentral is "Small nucleolar RNA SNORA38 (ENSDNOG00000028964.1)". It matches the Rfam family "Small nucleolar RNA SNORA38". Rfam says of the family: ACA38 is a member of the H/ACA class of snoRNA that guide the sites of modification of uridines to pseudouridines. Lineage: Eukaryota; Metazoa; Chordata; Mammalia; Cingulata; Dasypodidae. The record is from RNAcentral.